CCUUGUGUUUAUAGAAAAGAGGCAACACCCAGCCCCCAUUCCGAACCUGGCAGUUAAGCUCUUUUUCGUCAAUGAUACUGCAUCUUUCAGGUGUGGGAAAGUAGAACGAUGCAGGGA
This 117-nucleotide ribosomal RNA is filed under the name Helicobacter sp. 11S02629-2. Lineage: Bacteria; Pseudomonadati; Campylobacterota; Epsilonproteobacteria; Campylobacterales; Helicobacteraceae. The record is from RNAcentral.